This 77-nucleotide transfer RNA is filed under the name Burkholderia ubonensis. Its description in RNAcentral is "tRNA-Asn". It matches the Rfam family "tRNA". Rfam says of the family: Transfer RNA (tRNA) molecules are approximately 80 nucleotides in length. Their secondary structure includes four short double-helical elements and three loops (D, anti-codon, and T loops). Lineage: Bacteria; Pseudomonadati; Pseudomonadota; Betaproteobacteria; Burkholderiales; Burkholderiaceae. The record is from RNAcentral.
UCCGGUGUAGCUCAGUUCGGUAGAGCGCCUGGCUGUUAACCAGGAUGUCGGUGGUUCGAGCCCACUCUCCGGAGCAA